This 303-nucleotide ribosomal RNA is filed under the name uncultured bacterium. Its description in RNAcentral is "partial 16S ribosomal RNA". It matches the Rfam family "Bacterial small subunit ribosomal RNA", at positions 507 to 807 of the family's 1533-position model. The record is from RNAcentral.
AGCAGCAGCCGCGGUAAAACGAAGGGUGCAAGCGUUAAUCGGAAUUACUGGGCGUAAAGCGUGCGUAGGCGGUGAGUUAAGUCUGCUGUGAAAUCCCCGGGCUCAACCUGGGAAUGGCAGUGGAUACUGGCUCGCUAGAGUGUGUCAGAGGAUGGUGGAAUUCCCGGUGUAGCGGUGAAAUGCGUAGAGAUCGGGAGGAACAUCAGUGGCGAAGGCGGCCAUCUGGGACAACACUGACGCUGAGGCACGAAAGCGUGGGGAGCAAACAGGAUUAGAUACCCCCGUAGUCCCUGUCUCUUAUAC